This is a long non-coding RNA of Haliotis rubra (blacklip abalone), 96 nucleotides long. RefSeq lists it as uncharacterized. The transcript is spliced from 3 exons. The record is from RefSeq and is a predicted model, not a curated record. NCBI's taxonomy places the organism in Eukaryota, Metazoa, Mollusca, Gastropoda, Lepetellida, Haliotidae.
AUUCCACGGAUUCCCUGGUCAUACAUCUUGGCAGGUACAGAGAUAUACCUGCUGCAGCACUGGAGUCAAAGUUGGGGAAGAUACCAGCCUGAUCCG